Molecule: ribosomal RNA, 61 nt
Filed under: Pleurotus nebrodensis
Lineage: Eukaryota; Fungi; Basidiomycota; Agaricomycetes; Agaricales; Pleurotaceae
Description: partial 28S ribosomal RNA
Source: RNAcentral
GUCCGCAAGGACAAUUUGAUAAUUUGCCUCAAAUCAGGACGUCGUAGGACGUCCCGACCAU